Non-coding RNA from Picea glauca (white spruce), 115 nucleotides. NCBI's taxonomy places the organism in Eukaryota, Viridiplantae, Streptophyta, Pinopsida, Pinales, Pinaceae. The record is from Rfam.
AUGUAAUACCAUCUUCAAUUGUAAAUUAUCCCAUUAGAACUCCACAAUUUAGCACGAUCCAGCUAGAGUAAUACUGGGAUGGGUGACCACCUGAGAAGUCCAAGUGUUUUACAUG